RNAcentral lists this ribosomal RNA (484 nucleotides) under uncultured bacterium. RNAcentral's name for it is "partial 16S ribosomal RNA". It matches the Rfam family "Bacterial small subunit ribosomal RNA", at positions 30 to 507 of the family's 1533-position model. The record is from RNAcentral.
AUUGAACGCUGGCGGCAGGCCUAACACAUGCAAGUCGAGCGGAUGAAGGGAGCUUGCUCCUGGAUUCAGCGGCGGACGGGUGAGUAAUGCCUAGGAAUCUGCCUGGUAGUGGGGGAUAACGUCCGGAAACGGGCGCUAAUACCGCAUACGUCCUGAGGGAGAAAGUGGGGGAUCUUCGGACCUCACGCUAUCAGAUGAGCCUAGGUCGGAUUAGCUAGUUGGUGGGGUAAAGGCCUACCAAGGCGACGAUCCGUAACUGGUCUGAGAGGAUGACCAGUCACACUGGAACUGAGACACGGUCCAGACGCCUACGGGAGGCAGCAGUGGGGAAUAUUGGGCAAUGGGCGAAAGCCUGAUCCAGCCAUGCCGCGUGUGUGAAGAAGGUCUUCGGAUUGUAAAGCACUUUAAGUUGGGAGGAAGGGCAGUAAGUUAAUACCUUGCUGUUUUGACGUUACCAACAGAAUAAGCACCGGCUAACUUCGUG